Molecule: ribosomal RNA, 468 nt
Filed under: uncultured bacterium
Lineage: Bacteria
Description: bacterial SSU rRNA
Rfam family: Bacterial small subunit ribosomal RNA
Source: RNAcentral
GAGUUUGAUCCUGGCUCAGAACGAACGCUGGCGGCAGGCUUAACACAUGCAAGUCGAACGCCCCGCAAGGGGAGUGGCAGACGGGUGAGUAACACGUGGGAACGUGCCCAAAGGUACGGAACAACUCCCGGGAAACUGGAGCUAAUACCGUAUGUGCCCGAAAGGGGAAAGAUUUAUCGCCUUUGGAUCGGCCCGCGUCUGAUUAGCUAGUUGGUGGGGUAAUGGCCUACCAAGGCGACGAUCAGUAGCUGGUCUGAGAGGAUGGCCAGCCACACUGGGACUGAGACACGGCCCAGACUCCUACGGGAGGCAGCAGUGGGGAAUAUUGGACAAUGGGCGCAAGCCUGAUCCAGCCAUGCCGCGUGAGUGAUGAAGGCCUUAGGGUUGUAAAGCUCUUUCGCCAGGGACGAUAAUGACGGUACCUGGAUAAGAAGCCCCGGCUAACUUCGUGCCAGCAGCCGCGGUAAU